AACGCUCGUAGCAAUACGGGAGUGGCAGACGGGUGAGUAACGCGUGGGAACAUACCCUUUGGUUCGGAAUAACUGAGAGAAAUUUCAGCUAAUACCGGAUGUGCCCUUCGGGGGAAAGAUUUAUCGCCAAAGGAUUGGCCCGCGUCUGACUAGCUAGUUGGUGAGGUAACGGCUCACCAAGGCGACGAUCAGUAGCUGGUCUGAGAGGAUGAUCAGCCACACUGGGACUGAGACACGGCCCAGACUCCUACGGGAGGCAGCAGUGGGGAAUAUUGGACAAUGGGGGCAACCCUGAUCCAGCCAUGCCGCGUGAGUGAUGAAGGCCUUAGGGUUGUAAAGCUCUUUCGUCAGGGAAGAUAAUGACGGUACCUGAAGAAGAAGCCCCGGCUAACUUCGUGCCAGCAGCCGCGGUAAUACGAAGGGGGCUAGCGUUGUUCGGAAUUACUGGGCGUAAAGCGCACGUAGGCGGACAUUUAAGUCAGGGGUGAAAUCCCAGGGCUCAACCCUGGAACUGCCUUUGAUACUGGGUGUCUUGAGUACGAGAGAGGUGAGUGGAAUUCCGAGUGUAGAGGUGAAAUUCGUAGAUAUUCGGAAGAACACCAGUGGCGAA
Molecule: ribosomal RNA, 610 nt
Filed under: uncultured Pleomorphomonas sp.
Lineage: Bacteria; Pseudomonadati; Pseudomonadota; Alphaproteobacteria; Hyphomicrobiales; Pleomorphomonadaceae
Description: bacterial SSU rRNA
Rfam family: Bacterial small subunit ribosomal RNA
Source: RNAcentral